Molecule: long non-coding RNA, 2630 nt
Filed under: Sus scrofa (pig)
Lineage: Eukaryota; Metazoa; Chordata; Mammalia; Artiodactyla; Suidae
Description: lncRNA (ENSSSCG00030014132.1)
Source: RNAcentral
CAGGGAGGCUUCCUGACACGUCUGAGUAGAGCACCUCAUCCUCUCCACCCUCCUCCUUAGCUGUGUCUCCACGGCCCAUGUUCAUUCCUGCUUCCAGGACAGUCCCUGGCAUACAGGAGCAUUAAGAAAAUAUUUGCUGAGUGAGGACGUAAACGAAGGAAUCAGCGAGCGAGUCGAAGCGUGCCGCAAAGUUAUGGAUGAUGCUGUUUGUAAGUUGCGGAGAUGUUCAACGAGGGGAUGAGAGUGGAGCUCAGCUAAAAGAAAAUCAUCCCAUAAAAGGAAAUAAAAAUGUUUAUUCGACCGAGUUAUGAUCAAGGAGAAGAGAACUUGGAUCUCAUUUCAUGUACAGGCACCAUAUUGUAAAUUCCUGGAGGCCACGGGACCAGGUUUCAAUCCUGUUUUAUCCCCCAGGCCCCUAGCAUGGUAGCAUGGUACCGGGAAUACAUGAGGCACCCACACAAUGUUUGGGGGCCUUAAGCAAUACAGCAUAUCCAUGAACCUUGUCAUUAAAACAGACUUUGGUCACCCAACGAUGUCAUGAACAGAGAAGGUUAGCCUAUUUCAACUAUCAUUACAUUUUUUCUUGAUCAUCCCUAAUCAUAUGAGACUAGUGCACCAAUUUUCCUCAAUAUGCUGGUAGCUGGAGAGUUAGGAAAAAACAUUAAAUAUUACAUUGCAAUUGAAGAGAAUUUGCUAACCUUCACGGGAAUGAAAGGCCCAUUCAGUGGAACGGAGAAGGACUAGCCUAUGAAGAGCAUUUAUGGGGUGGGCUUUGCGCUCGGCCCCGCCGUGGACAGAGGCGCUGUCUUAAUGAUCCAGAGGAAUGCUCAGGACACACUUGGCUGCUGCAGGAGGUGGUGUGGGGAGUCUGGCUGGGCUCCUUUAUUUUAGUUUGGUAAACCAGCCACUCUACCUCCUCAUGGAAAAUUGGUACAGUGUGUCUUGAGGCAGCAAACUUUAACAGCCUUGAAUUCAUGGACAUCUCAGAGGGACGGGUCAACUCAGCCACCGUGUUGAAACCCCCUGAGACACUCAGAAUCAACGGCCACGAGAAGUGGCCUCUGCCUCUGCAGGCUCAAUGCUUAUCACUCCACAACGGUUGUGCUUCACAUUUCGACUCAAUAUUUAAUUCAUCGACGCCGAGCCUGAAAACUGAACGUACUGUCAGAGUUGGCAAGGGGACUCGAAAUUUAUGUUUUAAUUAGCUGGCCAUUUCAUCAAAAGGUAGACACGAUGUCUGUGGUUUAUAACUUUGAAAUAAACUCUAUGUGAGGGGGAAAAAAAUGCCGGGCACAUAUAGAGCUCAUUCAUGUCCAAGUUUAUGGUUUCUCUACCUGUGAAAAGGAAAGAGUUUGUGAAGGUAUAUUAUGGCGGAAAUUUACACAGCUUUCUUGUUCAUCAAAUUAAGCCAGUGCAUAUUUUCCUCAGCAGAAUAUGAAGCUAAGGUGUGGCUGCUUAAAUUAGGAGCAGGUAUUUUUCUUUGCAGGCGGAAUUUCUUCUGAAUUGUUCAAUGAAAGUACCACACACGUGGGAAAGAAAGCUUGCAGGGGGAAUUGGGUAGGGGUCUCUUUUUUCAAGUAUAUAAACUCAAGUACCACACAUUAAACUUUAAUAGACGCUGCUUGCUGGGAGGGAAAUUCAAAGCCAUUGCCAAGGAUGACACGCUUGACGCUAAUGGUCCGGUGAAAUCGGUGAGAUUAUUCAUACAAGCAAAGCCUUGACUUCCUAAUACCACAGCUGGGAAAUAGAAGUCAACCAAAGCUUUGUUGCUCCUCGGUCGAACCUUUGGAUGGUCAAUGCCCAGGAAAGAGCCCUGUCUAAACUGGUCACACGCCCAGCCUCCAACACAAAGAGCCUUGGGACAGAUGUGACGGGGAGGGAGGAAGGUCAUUCACUGUGUCACCCCCAUUCUUGUAGACCCCAACCCCAUCCUUAUGAUGUACUCUGCUCUAAGAGGGCUAGAAAACCAGUAUCUUUCAUAGUAAUGACUUCCAGUUUACAGCCUUCAUUUGUUAUAUUUCCUCAAUAGCUGUUGUGUUGAGAUUAACUGCAUAAAUGGUCUGCAGCUGUCUGUUAUGAAUUAAGGGAGUUUAAUCAAAGUAUUUCUAAUGUACAGCAUAAUGAUAAUACAUGGGGGAAGUACUAUUUAAGAGAUAAUGAUGGCUUCAGAAGAUCACUGUUGUAAUGUUUAGUGCAUAUGCCUUCAGCAUUGAAUUUGUUGUUGUUCUGAAUAUGCUUAAUGGAUCACUGAAAGGCUGCCUAAUGCAGGAUUGUUUGAUGGGGCUGACAGAGCUGGAAUUAGCCCAUUGCUGUUUACUGCAUACAGCCAUUAAGAUUAAUUGCUGCCAGAUAAUUUUGACUGUUUUUAUCUUCUGGAAAAAGUGUCACUAAUGGGUUUAUAAAUUGGUUCACUAUUGCUAAUAGUAAGGCCAGUGUAACGGGAUAGAAUGUCAGCUAAUUCUAAAGAUAAAGGUAAAAAAAAGUAUAACGUACUAUAUGGCUUUUGCUAGUUUUAAGGGAUACUGUUAUCUAAUAACAGACACGCUGAUAUAUGAUGCUCAUUAAUGCUAUUUCCUGAGCUUUGGGUUGAACCUAAUAGAUGCUAAUAAAGUCUUAUUUGAUGUCCCAUU